This 497-nucleotide ribosomal RNA is filed under the name uncultured bacterium. Its description in RNAcentral is "partial 16S ribosomal RNA". It matches the Rfam family "Bacterial small subunit ribosomal RNA", at positions 28 to 507 of the family's 1533-position model. The record is from RNAcentral.
GAUGAACGCUGGCGGCGUGCCUAAUACAUGCAAGUCGAGCGAACGGACGAGAAGCUUGCUUCUCUGAUGUUAGCGGCGGACGGGUGAGUCACACGUGGAUAACCUACCUAUAAGACUGGGAUAACUUCGGGAAACCGGAGCUAAUACCGGAUAAUAUUUUGAACCGCAUGGUUCAAGAAUGAAAGACGGGCUUGCUGUCGCUUAUCGAUGGAUCCGCGCUGCAUUAGCUAGUUGGUAAGGUAACGGCUUACCAAGGCAACGAUGCAUAGCCGACCUGAGAGGGUGAUCGGCCACCCUGGAACGGAGACACGGUCCAGACUCCUAGGGGAGGCAGCAGUAGGGAAUCUUACGCAAUGGGCGAAAGCCUGACGGAGCAACGGCGCGUGAGUGACGAAGGUCUUCGGAUCGUAAAACUGUGUUAUUAGGGAAGAACAUAUGUGUAAGUAACUGUGCACAUCUUGACGGUACCUAAUCAGAAAGCCACGGCUAACUACGUG